AGCUUGCUAAUUGCAGUUCUAGUGGCGGACGGGUGCGUAACACGUGAGCCACCUGCCCUGAAGUGGGGGAUAGCCCGGGGAAACCCGGAUUAAUACCGCAUGUGAUCUUCGGAUCAAAGACGGCUUCGGCUGUCGCUUCAGGAUGGGCUCGCGGCCUAUCAGCUUGAUGGUGAGGUAACGGCUCACCAUGGCGACGACGGGUAGCUGGUCUGAGAGGACGAUCAGCCACACUGGAACUGAGACACGGUCCAGACACCUACGGGUGGCAGCAGUCGAGAAUCAUUCACAAUGGGGGAAACCCUGACGGUGCAACGCCGCGUGGAGGAUGACGGCCCUCGGGUUGUAAACUCCUGUCAUCUGGGAGUAAGCCUUGUGCGUUAAUAGCGUGCAAGGUUGAUAGUACCAGAAGAGGAAGGGACGGCUAACUUCGUGCCAGCAGCCGCGGUAAUACGAAGGUCCCAAGCGUUGUUCGGAAUCACUGGGCGUAAAGCG
Molecule: ribosomal RNA, 492 nt
Filed under: uncultured bacterium
Lineage: Bacteria
Description: bacterial SSU rRNA
Rfam family: Bacterial small subunit ribosomal RNA
Source: RNAcentral